AUGAACGCUGGCGGCGUGCCUAAUACAUGCAAGUCGAGCGAACAGACGAGGAGCUUGCUCCUCUGACGUUAGCGGCGGACGGGUGAGUAACACGUGGAUAACCUACCUAUAAGACUGGGAUAACUUCGGGAAACCGGAGCUAAUACCGGAUAAUAUAUUGAACCGCAUGGUUCAAUAGUGAAAGACGGUUUUGCUGUCACUUAUAGAUGGAUCCGCGCCGCAUUAGCUAGUUGGUAAGGUAACGGCUUACCAAGGCAACGAUGCGUAGCCGACCUGAGAGGGUGAUCGGCCACACUGGAACUGAGACUCGGUCCAGACUCCUACGGGAGGCAGCAGUAGGGAAUCUUCCGCAAUGGGCGAAAGCCUGACGGAGCAACGCCGCGUGAGUGAUGAAGGUCUUCGGAUCGUAAAACUCUGUUAUUAGGGAAGAACAAAUGUGUAAGUAACUAUGCACGUCUUGACGGUACCUAAUCAGAAAGCCACGGCUAACUACGUG
RNAcentral lists this ribosomal RNA (496 nucleotides) under uncultured bacterium. RNAcentral describes it as "partial 16S ribosomal RNA". It matches the Rfam family "Bacterial small subunit ribosomal RNA", at positions 29 to 507 of the family's 1533-position model. The record is from RNAcentral.